Molecule: ribosomal RNA, 465 nt
Filed under: uncultured bacterium
Lineage: Bacteria
Description: partial 16S ribosomal RNA
Rfam family: Bacterial small subunit ribosomal RNA
Source: RNAcentral
CCUACGGGCGGCAGCAGUGGGGAAUAUUGCGCAAUGGGCGAAAGCCUGACGCAGCGACGCCGCGUGAGGGAUGAAGGUCUUCGGAUCGUAAACCUCUGUCAGCAGGGAAGCACGGUCACUGUGCUAAUCAGCAGUGAAUUGACGGUACCUGCAAAGGAAGCACCGGCUAACUCCGUGCCAGCAGCCGCGGUAAUACGGAGGGUGCGAGCGUUAAUCGGAAUUACUGGGCGUAAAGCGGUCGUAGGCGGUAUGUCAAGUCAAGGGGUAAAUCCCCGCGCGCAACGUGGGAACUGCCUUUGAAACUGGCAAACUGGAGUGGGUGAGAGGAUAGUGGAAUUCCAGGUGUAGGAGUGAAAUCCAUAGAUAUCUGGAGGAACAUCAGUGGCGAAGGCGACUAUCUGGCACAUAACUGACGCUGAGGAGCGAAAGCGUGGGUAGCAAACAGGAUUAGAUACCCCAGUAGUC